This 2041-nucleotide long non-coding RNA is filed under the name Macaca fascicularis (crab-eating macaque). RNAcentral describes it as "lncRNA (ENSMFAG00000053863.1)". The record is from RNAcentral. Lineage: Eukaryota; Metazoa; Chordata; Mammalia; Primates; Cercopithecidae.
UUUUUCUUUUUUAUUUUUUUGAGUCAGAGUUUCGCUCUUGUUGCCCAGACUGGAGUGCAGUGGCGUGAUCUCGGCUCACUGCAACCUCUGCCUCCGGGAUUCAAGCGAGUCUCCUGCCUCAGCCUCCUGAGUAGCUGGGAUUACGGGCAUGCACCACUGUACCUAAUUUUGUAUUUUCAGUAGAGACGGGAUUUCUCCAUGUUGGUCAGGCUGGUCUCGAACUCCUAACCUCAGGUGAUCUACCCACCUCGGCCUCCCAAAGUGCUGGGAUUACAGGCGUGAGUCACCGUGCCGGCCAGUAGAGAAUUUCUUUCCAUACCCACAGUGCCCUUCUGUCAGAAGAAGGGCACCUGGAGUGCAAUAAGGAUGAUGAGUGACAUCAUAGUUCAUUAUCCUCUGUCCUUUCCAAGUACUCUCUAAUUCAGACUCUAUUUAAUUUUAAAAGGCAGCGUCGUUCUUCUUCAGGAGCUUGGAGAGAAAUAAUCCUUACCCAGUGAAGUGAGUGAGCCCUUCCAUCCUUUCUUUCCCAAACACCACCAUGUAAGGUGUAUAAUCGUGUAUAAAAUCAGCAGAUUAUAUAUCAGAGGGUUAUGAGGAAACUAGAGACUGAGUUAUAUUAUUCCUAUGAAUCCUCAGCUAUAGGUGUAGUCCAGGAGUAAUAGUCUCGGCAUGCAUGUUACAUUUGUGUAAUUUCAUCAAAGAUAUAUCUUUUGAUGCCUAUUGAGCUCUGAAACCUGGAUAAAGCUUCUGUCAUACACAGUAUAUUCACAGGAUUUCUCUGUUAUGAACUCUGAUGUCUGUUAAUGCUUAAACUCAUCAGAAGUUUGCCAGUCACUGCAUUUGUAAGAAUUGUCUCAAGAAUGAAUUCCCGAUGUUGUGAAAUAAGUAAUUUGUGGCUGAACAACUUGCCACACUCCUUUGUAAGGUUACUUUUUCUGUGUGUGUGUGUGUGUGUGUGUGUGUGUGUAUGAUGGAGUUUCACUCUUGUUGCCCAAGCUGGAGUGCAAUGGCAUGAUCUCCCUCACUGCAAUCUCCGCCUCCCAGGUUCAAGUGAUUCUCCUGCCUCAUCCUCCUGAGUAGCUGGGAUUACAGGCAUGCACCACCAUGCCCAGCUAAUUUUUGUGUUUUUAGUAAAGACAGCAUUUCAUCAUGUUGGCCAGCCUGGUCUUGAACUCGCGACCUCAGGUGAUCUGCCUUCCUCGGCUUCUCAAAGUGCUGGGAUUACAGGCAUGAGCCACCACACCUGGCGUCCUUUGUAAGGUUUCUAUCCACUAUGAAUUCUUCGAUGUUUUGCAAGGUUUGAAUUUUGAGUGAAGACCUUGCCACAUUCGUUACAUUUGUAAGGUUUGUCUCCAGUAUGGAUUGCCAUAUGGGUAGUUAGGGUUGAGCGAACACUAAAGGCUUUCCCACACUCAUUACACCUGUAAGGUUUUUCUCCAGUGUGAAUUCUUCUAUGAUUUGCAAGAUGUGAAUUCUGAGUGAAGACCUUGCCACAUUCAUUACAUUUGUAAGGUUUUUCUCCAGUGUGGAUGACCUGAUGGGUAGCUAGGUUUGAAUGUACACUAAAUGCUUUGCCACACUCAUUACACUUGUAAGGUUUCUCACCAGUGUGAAUUCUCUGAUGAACUGCAAGGUAUGAACUGUGCCUGAAGACCUUGCCACAAUCAUUACAUUUGUAUGGUUUUUGUCCAGUAUGUAUUGUCUGAUGGAUAGUUAGGCUUGAAUGAACACUAAAGGCUCUGCCACACUCAUUACACUUGUAAGGUUUUUCUCCAGUAUGAACUCUCCAGUGCCUUGCAAGUUGUGACGUUUGACUGAAGGCUUUACCACAUUCACCACACUUGUAAGGUUUUGCUCCAGAAUGAAUUCCCCGAUGACUUGCAAGGUGUGAAUUUUGUGUGAAGACCUUACCACAGUCAUUACAUUUGUAAGGCUUUUCUCCAGUAUGAAUUGCCUGAUGGGUAGUUAGGCUUGAUCGCCUGUAAUCCCAGCACUUUCUCUCCAGUAUGAAUUCUUUGAGGUCAGUGUGAAUACUGAGUGA